Molecule: ribosomal RNA, 253 nt
Filed under: uncultured bacterium
Lineage: Bacteria
Description: partial 16S ribosomal RNA
Rfam family: Bacterial small subunit ribosomal RNA
Source: RNAcentral
UACAGAGGGGGCGAGCGUUAUUCGGAAUUAUUGGGCGUAAAGGGCGCGUAGGCGGCUUGACAAGUCUCAGGUGAAAUCCCUCGGCUCAACCGAGGAACUGCCUUGGAAACUGUCUGGCUUGAGGCCGGGAGAGGGUAGUGGAAUUCCCAGUGUAGCGGUGAAAUGCGUAGAUAUUGGGAGGAACACCGGUGGCGAAGGCGGCUACCUGGACCGGAUCUGACGCUGAUGCGCGAAAGCGUGGGGAGCAAACAGG